CCUACGGGAGGCUGCAGUCGAGAAUUUUUGGCAAUGGGCGAAAGCCUGACCAAGCGAUGCCGCGUGCGGGAUGAAGGCCUUCGGGUUGUAAACCGCUGUCAGUGGGGAGGAAAGCUUUGCGAAGAGCAAGGCUUGACCUAUCCGCAGAGGAAGUGUGGGCUAAGUUCGUGCCAGCAGCCGCGGUAAGACGAACCACACAAACGUUAUUCGGAAUUACUGGGCUUAAAGGGUGCGUAGGCUGCGCAGUAAGUUGGGUGUGAAAUACCUCGGCUCAACCGAGGAACUGCGCCCAAAACUACUGUGCUUGAGGAAGAUAGAGGUAAGCGGAACUUACGGUGGAGCGGUGAAAUGCGUUGAUAUCGUAAGGAACACCUGUGGCGAAAGCGGCUUACUGGGUCUUUUCUGACGCUGAUGCACGAAAGCUAGGGGAGCAAACGGGAUUAGAUACCCUAGUAGUC
This 458-nucleotide ribosomal RNA is filed under the name uncultured bacterium. Its description in RNAcentral is "bacterial SSU rRNA". It matches the Rfam family "Bacterial small subunit ribosomal RNA", at positions 338 to 795 of the family's 1533-position model. The record is from RNAcentral.